RNAcentral lists this transfer RNA (86 nucleotides) under Dehalococcoidia bacterium. Its description in RNAcentral is "tRNA-Leu". It matches the Rfam family "tRNA". From Rfam's summary of the family: Transfer RNA (tRNA) molecules are approximately 80 nucleotides in length. Lineage: Bacteria; Bacillati; Chloroflexota; Dehalococcoidia. RNAcentral also lists the same sequence under 1 other name. The record is from RNAcentral.
GCCGAGGUGGUGGAAUGGUAGACACGCUGUCUUGAGGGGGCAGUGAGCGAAAGCUCGUAGGAGUUCGAGUCUCCUCCUCGGCACCA